Molecule: ribosomal RNA, 774 nt
Filed under: uncultured Neocallimastigales
Lineage: Eukaryota; Fungi; Neocallimastigomycota; Neocallimastigomycetes; Neocallimastigales
Description: partial large subunit ribosomal RNA
Rfam family: Eukaryotic large subunit ribosomal RNA
Source: RNAcentral
GUACACGCUGUGACUAGCAUAUCAAUAAGCGGAGGAAAAGAAACUAACAAGGAUUCCCCUAGUAACGGCGAGUGAAGCGGGAAGAGCCCAAAUUUGAGAUCUUAAAGGGUUUCCCUUUACGAAUUGUAGUUUAAAGAAGUGUUUUCUGUUGAGGUUUUGGUAAAAGUUCUUUGGAAUAGGACAUCAUAGAGGGUGAGAAUCCCGUAUUUGACCUUUACUUUCAACUUUGUGAUACACUUUCAAAGAGUCGGAUUGUUUGGGAAUGCAGUCCAAAAUGGGUGGUAAAUUUCAUCUAAAGCUAAAUAUUGGCGAGAGACCGAUAGCGAACAAGUACCGUGAGGGAAGGAUGAAAAGAACUUUGAAAAGAGAGUUAAACAGUACGUGAAAUUGUCAAAAGGGAAGCGUUUGACACCAGUGUUGUUUUUCUGAAAAUCAAUUAAAGAACUGUUUAUGCUAAGUUGUUUAGACUUUAUCAGCUAACUGUUUAGUUUUGAGCUUUUCUUUAAUGCACUUUUCAGUUAACAAGUCAACAUCAAUUUCUUUUGCUGUAAAAAAGCUUGAGGAAGGUGGCUUGAGAUUCGUCUUAAGUGUUUAUAGCCUCUUGCCUAUGCAGUCGGAGAGAUUGAGGUCUGCAGCGUAGAUCCUUCGGGGCUAAAUGCAUUUGUGCUAAGUUAUAACAUUUUAUAGACAACUUGUUGACUAUGAUUUGUCUUGUAGCUUACUCGCUUAUGUUAUUUUACCUACGCUUAGGAUGUUGACACAUGAGAUAUACGC